GUGCUGAUUCAGCAACACAUAUACUAAAAUUUGAACAAUACAGAGAAGAUUAGCAUGGCCCCUGAGUAAUGAUGACGUGCAAAUUCAUGAAGCCCCAUAUUUUU
Molecule: small nuclear RNA, 104 nt
Organism: Delphinapterus leucas (beluga whale)
Lineage: Eukaryota; Metazoa; Chordata; Mammalia; Artiodactyla; Monodontidae
Source: Ensembl